Molecule: ribosomal RNA, 405 nt
Filed under: uncultured bacterium
Lineage: Bacteria
Description: partial 16S ribosomal RNA
Rfam family: Bacterial small subunit ribosomal RNA
Source: RNAcentral
AUUGAACGCUAGCGGCAGGCUUACCACAUGCAAGUCGAACGAGCGGCGGACGGGUGAGUAAUGCUUGGGAAUCUGGCAGAUGGAGGGGGAUAACGACGGGAAACUGUCGCUAAUACCGCGUAGCAUAGGAUGAGCCCAAGUGGGAUUAGCUAUUAGGUGGGGUAACGGCUUACCUAGGCGACAAUCCCUAGCUGGUCUGAGAGGAUGACCAGCCCCACUCGAACGGUGACACGUGGCUGACUCCUACGGGCAGCAGCAUUGGGAAAUAUGUCACAAUGGGCGCCAUCUGAUUCAGCCAUGCCGCGGGAAUUAAGAAGGUCUUCGUGUUGUAAAGUUCUGUCGGUUACGAGGCAUUAAUCACAGGAUAAGCACCUGCUCACUCCGUGCCAGCAGCCGCGGUAAUAC